UUAUGCCAUCAUUAUCAUAAAUCGUAUUGUAUUCUAUAUAUUAAAAUUUACAAUAUAAGGUCACUUAUACUAGGCACUGCAUCAAGCAUCAAGAGACAGAGAUUGGGCAAUCGGCUUCGAGACUUCGGGUGUGGCAAGAGAUUGAGCCUGCGGGUGCCAAACGUACGAUAGCGGCUGGCAUCACUUCGGGUGUGACAGACUGCUCAUUCAACACCAGUGAGAGACUCAAGCAGUUAAGUUUUGGUGAAUUUAGAUAUUUGAUUAAGUUGGAUACUUCGGGAGUUUUGUUAAUUGUGAUUUGAAGAAAAUAAAGAUUAACUGUAAUUAUUAGAUUUAUUUUUAUUUUUUAUAAGUAUUAAUACAGGUAAAUUUAUAAAUUAAAAUUAACAAUUUUUUUUUUGAAAAAACUUCGCCAACUCUUAGCUUUGCCCCUAACAUAAUGAGAUUAAGAUUAACAUAUUUUCCCCUCAUUUUCUCUCCCCCUCUCUCCUUUCCUCUCUUUCUUCCAACUAGAUAUGUGCUCAAUAUAAUGAACUGAUAUAAGGUAUUAAUGUUGUUGAGGUUUUACUUUAAUGAAAAUGAGCAAAUGAAGCUUUAUGAAACUGAAAUGUUGAUGAACAUAAUUUAUAUACAUAUUUUACCAUUUAUUGUAUAUUUAUUAGUUAAUUUUAUUUGUUAUUUUUAAUUGAUUGAAUUGUUUUAUUGAAUAGAGAAUUAAUUGGAGAUUAAGAAUAAAAAAGUGCAAAAAGAGUAAUAAUUUCGGGGAGUAUCAAUCGAAGCCGUGACAAAGUUAAGAUUUUAUAGCAUGUGAAGCCAAGAGCAAUUUGCAUUUAAAAGGAAUUUCAAUUCUCCAAUUGAGUUGCACGUGCUUGGCAUUGCAAUAUGUGAAAAGCAAUUUAAAGGGACCCGUACUUGGCUUUCAAAAGUGGAAAGUAAUGGCUUAUGGUGGCGUUAAUUUGGAAGAUUUGUUUUAUAAUUGGAAAAGGAUUUUAAUUAGUAUAAAAAGAGGAUUCGGUGGCUAAGCAUUAUAAAAAGAGAGUUUUGGCUUUUGAAUGAGGUAGCCACCAGAGGAGCAGACGCAAGGCUGGGAGAGAAGAAUAAAGCAGCGGCAGCAGCAAUUUAAUUUUCAUGGCUGGUUUUGUUUAUUUUAUUGCUCCUAAUUCAAGUAUGUCUAGCUAAUUUUCUUAUACUGAGGUUAAGGAUGAAAUUCUAUUUAAUGAAAUAAUUAUAUUUUUAUUUAUUUAAUUCUCUAUAUAUGUUCUUUGAUGAUUAUGAUUUUUAUUUCACAUGAUUAAUUAGAUGUUAUUAAAAUCUUUUUAUCAAUUCUGUCGUGC
This 1334-nucleotide long non-coding RNA is filed under the name Citrus maxima (pomelo). Its description in RNAcentral is "long non-coding RNA (CMAX_LNC003637)". Lineage: Eukaryota; Viridiplantae; Streptophyta; Magnoliopsida; Sapindales; Rutaceae. The record is from RNAcentral.